This 1350-nucleotide long non-coding RNA is filed under the name Gossypium raimondii (Peruvian cotton). RNAcentral's name for it is "long non-coding RNA (GRAI_LNC011014)". Lineage: Eukaryota; Viridiplantae; Streptophyta; Magnoliopsida; Malvales; Malvaceae. The record is from RNAcentral.
CAGGCCCAAUGCCAAACAAAUAAAACCUAAACACCAGUCCAACAAAAACCCUACUAGCCCACAGCCCAAUACAACAUAAAACAUUCAGCAGAAAAAAGAAAAGAAAACCCUAGCUUCCAGCCAAAUCAAGGCGCCGCACGCCUCACCAGCCUCUUCGCUACCACCGCCACCGUCGCCAAUCGUUUGCCCUCCACGCGUGUCAGACUGUUACGAGUUGAAAAAUCAGUAGAAAAGAAUUAUAGAAUCGUAGUUAAAUACGGGGUGUUUUGAGGAGUUUUAAGUUUAAUGAAACGGUGCGUUUUAAUUUCAACAGAAUUGUACACGUCACCUUGUUAGUUUUCCUUUAAAACGGCAUGCAGUACGUGAGUAACGAUAUCAAAUGAAAAGAAUAUUAUUCCAGUAUUCUCUCUCUCUUCCUUGUUCUUCUGUUCUCUCCAUUCAACCUCUCUUUCUUUCUUAGAUUUUCUUUUUAUUCCAGCCAAAUCAAGGCGCCGCACGCCUCACCAGCCUCUUCGCUACCACCGCCACCGUCGCCAAUCGUUUGCCCUCCACGCGUGUCAGACACCUGCAGAGAGCAAUAAACACGCAAGCACAAGAAGACAACAGAAGCAUACAACAGAAAAAAACAAGAAAAUAGAAAAAAAAGUUGUAAAAUGGCUAUAAAAAGCCACAAUGAACAAUAGUUCUGGGCUUCUGGCAAUUUCACGAAUAUUAGAAGCAAUAAAAGGUGUUGAUUUAGAUUUUUUUUUGUCUCUUUGUUUUCCAUUUUAUUUAUUUAUUAUUUUUACAAAUCUAUUUUAAUAAAAAGGUGCAUAGAAUAAAAAGAAAGAGGAGGGCGUACCUGUGGCCGGGCAUAGCACCACCGUCGGAAUCCCCCUCCGCUUGUCGGGGCCGCAGAAACGCAUUAGGAUUUCGCUUGGGCGGCGGCCGAAAUGACAGAGGCCGAAAGGCCCUUCCUUUUUUAUUUUUCCUUCAUUUUUUUGGUUUCAAAAUACCCAAAUCGGGUAUAUAUUUUAGAAAAAAAGGAUUUUUUUUAAAAAAUUGGGUUUGGGGAAUUUUUGGCUUUCCGGUACGGCGACAUUACGGCGGAGGAGCGCCGUGGCCUUCGUCGGACCUAGGCCGGAAAGGGAGAGAGGGGAGAGGGCUGCUGCAGUUUUUUUUCUCGUGUGUGGGGGAGAGAAAUGCAAAAAAAAAAGGUGUUUAAAUCGCAAGAGAAAACGACGCCGUUUCGGCCCUUAGGAUCCGAGCUCGACCCGACCCGCCUAUGGGAUCCGCGCGUUUCUGUUGAAUGGGAAAUUUUCGCCCUUGGUCCCUCCAUAUUAUUGUGUUGUUUUAAUUUAAUCCUUCUGC